Molecule: ribosomal RNA, 1254 nt
Filed under: Bacillus safensis
Lineage: Bacteria; Bacillati; Bacillota; Bacilli; Caryophanales; Bacillaceae
Description: bacterial SSU rRNA
Rfam family: Bacterial small subunit ribosomal RNA
Source: RNAcentral
CUUGCUCCCGGAUGUUAGCGGCGGACGGGUGAGUAACACGUGGGUAACCUGCCUGUAAGACUGGGAUAACUCCGGGAAACCGGAGCUAAUACCGGAUAGUUCCUUGAACCGCAUGGUUCAAGGAUGAAAGACGGUUUCGGCUGUCACUUACAGAUGGACCCGCGGCGCAUUAGCUAGUUGGUGGGGUAAUGGCUCACCAAGGCGACGAUGCGUAGCCGACCUGAGAGGGUGAUCGGCCACACUGGGACUGAGACACGGCCCAGACUCCUACGGGAGGCAGCAGUAGGGAAUCUUCCGCAAUGGACGAAAGUCUGACGGAGCAACGCCGCGUGAGUGAUGAAGGUUUUCGGAUCGUAAAGCUCUGUUGUUAGGGAAGAACAAGUGCGAGAGUAACUGCUCGCACCUUGACGGUACCUAACCAGAAAGCCACGGCUAACUACGUGCCAGCAGCCGCGGUAAUACGUAGGUGGCAAGCGUUGUCCGGAAUUAUUGGGCGUAAAGGGCUCGCAGGCGGUUUCUUAAGUCUGAUGUGAAAGCCCCCGGCUCAACCGGGGAGGGUCAUUGGAAACUGGGAAACUUGAGUGCAGAAGAGGAGAGUGGAAUUCCACGUGUAGCGGUGAAAUGCGUAGAGAUGUGGAGGAACACCAGUGGCGAAGGCGACUCUCUGGUCUGUAACUGACGCUGAGGAGCGAAAGCGUGGGGAGCGAACAGGAUUAGAUACCCUGGUAGUCCACGCCGUAAACGAUGAGUGCUAAGUGUUAGGGGGUUUCCGCCCCUUAGUGCUGCAGCUAACGCAUUAAGCACUCCGCCUGGGGAGUACGGUCGCAAGACUGAAACUCAAAGGAAUUGACGGGGGCCCGCACAAGCGGUGGAGCAUGUGGUUUAAUUCGAAGCAACGCGAAGAACCUUACCAGGUCUUGACAUCCUCUGACAACCCUAGAGAUAGGGCUUUCCCUUCGGGGACAGAGUGACAGGUGGUGCAUGGUUGUCGUCAGCUCGUGUCGUGAGAUGUUGGGUUAAGUCCCGCAACGAGCGCAACCCUUGAUCUUAGUUGCCAGCAUUCAGUUGGGCACUCUAAGGUGACUGCCGGUGACAAACCGGAGGAAGGUGGGGAUGACGUCAAAUCAUCAUGCCCCUUAUGACCUGGGCUACACACGUGCUACAAUGGACAGAACAAAGGGCUGCAAGACCGCAAGGUUUAGCCAAUCCCAUAAAUCUGUUCUCAGUUCGGAUCGCAGUCUGCAACUCGACUGC